RNAcentral lists this transfer RNA (72 nucleotides) under Camelus bactrianus (Bactrian camel). It matches the Rfam family "tRNA". From Rfam's summary of the family: Transfer RNA (tRNA) molecules are approximately 80 nucleotides in length. Their secondary structure includes four short double-helical elements and three loops (D, anti-codon, and T loops). RNAcentral also lists the same sequence under 2 other names. Lineage: Eukaryota; Metazoa; Chordata; Mammalia; Artiodactyla; Camelidae. The record is from Rfam by way of RNAcentral.
GAGGGUAUACCUCAGUGGUAGAGAGUGUGCUUAGCAUGCACAAGGUCCUGGGUUCAGUCCCCAGUCCCUCCA